CUCAUUAUUGUCAUAAGUCAUUUGCGACAGCGGUGUUAAUGUGGGUCAAACAGGAUGUUAAGGUUAACUGCUUGGACCUUUAGUUAGGCCCACCCUACAAUCCCAAAGCUACAAGACGACAAACAAUAUCACAGAACCCGAAUUCACUGCAUCGAUCGUUGAAACACGACAACUAAAACCUUAACCAGAUACAGCCAUACAGAAAAAAUAAGAAAUAUUUCGAGAGGGGUUUUCUUUCGCUUUCAGUUGUUAGAUCUAAAUCACAUAGCUAAUGAGAAUGCCGAUUCCGUUUAAACACCUUCUUGUAUUUUUCAUUUGAUAAAAUUCUUAUUAAGAUCGCAUAGCGGAGUGGAUAUCGCGUUAGACUCCGAAUCUAAAGGUCGUGGGUUCGAAUCCCACUGCGAUCACUUUACCCUUUUUCCUUUCAUUCCAUAUAAUUGCACUUAUACAUAUUUUGAAUCAUACAAUUUAGUGGAAAACCAUAGAAAUUAUAUACAGGCAUUGACAAACAGCAGUAUUUUACAGCUAUUUUAUUGUGUGUUCAAUGAAUGAUAUAUGUCCCUAUAUGCGUAUGAUAAAAUGUAGGUUAUCAUAUUCGGCAAAUAAUUAGCUAAAGGCAUAAAUGUGGUGCUCCUCUCUUAAAGCUGUCUGUCUAUUUUGGCUAUAUUUUUGUAAAUUUGCUCUUAUAUGAGGAUACCUCAAUUUAAAGGUUCCAAAAGGUGGUUUGGAAUAUGUCUGAAACACUGAUUGCUUUUUUCAAAGGUUUGGUAGCCAUCACUGAAUUAUCACUUGGUGUUUACACCCGUAUUAUUAGAGGAGUUGACUCAUAUCCCACAAAGGCGUGGGUUCGCUCCCACUGUCAAUGUGAGAACGUGUAAGUAUCUUUGUUGUCGCUACUCUUUGAACUUUGAGGUAUGCCCUAACUCUGAUGAGUCCUUGAGACCCAAUCGAGUGUCAGCAAGAAAAAAGCUCAUGUAUUAAUAAAUGUAUUGAGAUUUUAGAAACUCUUUUUGUUUUUUUUCCUGUUUGCUUUCAAUGGAAUCUAAAACUAACAGGCAUACAUGAUUUUGGAGUGUGGACAAGGAUCAUGCUGAGGUUUUCAUACCUUUUUGCGACAGCGAUGAUCCUGAUGUGGCUGCUAGUGAGGUUCUAGAAAUGUCAGCUGGAAAAAAUCACUGCUAUGAUAAUGCCAGCAUUCCUAUUGUGACUGAAGCAUAAUGUUCUGAAAAUGCUGCUAAUUAUGCUGUGAAGGGUGCCUUAUACAAUUCCAAACCUGCCUUUAACUAGAAAAUUAUGCUUAAUGUAAAUCAAAAUCACUAUUCUGGUGUGAAAGAAACGGGUUGUGCCUAUGGGAAUCCUUAGUAAAUUUGCAGUAGAAUUUUGAGUGGCUUAUGUACCUUUCAUAAGCAUCAUUUUGGUAUACCAACACUAAUUAGUGAGUUGGAGAAUAUAAUACAGUGAUAUCAUUAGUGCCUUUUACGUAGUGAUUGUAACUAUAAACUAUAAACUAUACCAUGUUGACAAUUAAGUAAUGCAGAUACGGUAGGUCUCCCCCCUUUAAUUAUUUGAUCUGGCAUAUUUGCAUUAGCAGACAGCAAUUAUCAUGUUGACCAGAGAAGGACAAUUAUUUGUCAUCAGCAGUAAAUUAUUGAGAAUAUUUAUAUAUGGUUUAAUCGCA
Molecule: long non-coding RNA, 1678 nt
Organism: Cicer arietinum (chickpea)
Lineage: Eukaryota; Viridiplantae; Streptophyta; Magnoliopsida; Fabales; Fabaceae
Source: RefSeq, a predicted model, not a curated record